This 251-nucleotide ribosomal RNA is filed under the name uncultured prokaryote. RNAcentral's name for it is "partial 16S rRNA". It matches the Rfam family "Bacterial small subunit ribosomal RNA", at positions 525 to 775 of the family's 1533-position model. The record is from RNAcentral.
ACGGAGGGUGCGAGCGUUAAUCGGAAUCACUGGGCGUAAAGCGCACGUAGGCGGUGUCGUAAGUCGGAUGUGAAAGCCCUCGGCUCAACCGGGGAACUGCCUUUGAUACUGCGACGCUGGAGUGCCGUUGAGGUAGCCGGAAUUCCAGGUGUAGGGGUGAAAUCCGUAGAGAUGAGGAGGAACACCAGCGGCGAAGGCAGCUUCCUGGCCGGCUACUGACGCUGAGGUGCGAAAGCGUGGGGAUCAGACAG